This 125-nucleotide small nuclear RNA is filed under the name Chinchilla lanigera (long-tailed chinchilla). Its description in RNAcentral is "U4 spliceosomal RNA (ENSCLAG00000020769.1)". It matches the Rfam family "U4 spliceosomal RNA". Rfam says of the family: U4 small nuclear RNA (U4 snRNA) is a component of the major U2-dependent spliceosome. The structure of U4 snRNA from yeast and human has been reported. The record is from Rfam by way of RNAcentral. Lineage: Eukaryota; Metazoa; Chordata; Mammalia; Rodentia; Chinchillidae.
ACCUUUGUGCAGUGGCAGUAUCGUAGCCAACGAUGUUUAUCUGAGGCACAGUUAUUGCUAAAUAAAAUCUUUUCCCAGAAAUAGUCUCCAAAAGAGGGAGACAGCUAUGGAAUAAUGUUAGCAAU